GAAGUUGGAAUCGCUAGUAACCGUAAAUCAGCUACGUUACGGUGAAUAUGUUCCUGGGUCUUGUACUCACCGCCCGUCAAGUCAUGAAAGGCAGGGGCACCCGAAGGACCGUUACUCUUACGAGGCGGUACCACGGUGAAACUGCUGAUUGGGACUAAGUCGUAACAAGGUAUCCGUAGGAGAACCUGCGGAUGGAACACUUCCUUACCAGGGA
RNAcentral lists this ribosomal RNA (214 nucleotides) under Candidatus Peregrinibacteria bacterium CG10_big_fil_rev_8_21_14_0_10_49_10. Its description in RNAcentral is "partial 16S ribosomal RNA". It matches the Rfam family "Bacterial small subunit ribosomal RNA", at positions 1322 to 1533 of the family's 1533-position model. Lineage: Bacteria; Candidatus Peregrinibacteriota. The record is from RNAcentral.